RNAcentral lists this ribosomal RNA (253 nucleotides) under uncultured prokaryote. Its description in RNAcentral is "partial 16S ribosomal RNA". It matches the Rfam family "Bacterial small subunit ribosomal RNA", at positions 525 to 777 of the family's 1533-position model. The record is from RNAcentral.
ACGUAGGCAGCGAGCGUUGUUCGGAGUUACUGGGCGUAAAGAGUGCGUAGGCGGUUUCGUAAGUUUGGUGUGAAAUCUCCCGGCUUAACUGGGAGGGUGCGCCGAAAACUGCGGGGCUUGAGAGUGGGAGAGGUAAGCGGAAUUCCUGGUGUAGCGGUGAAAUGCGUAGAUAUCAGGAGGAACACCAGCGGUGUAGACGGCUUACUGGACCACGACUGACGCUGAGGCACGAAAGCGUGGGGAGCAAACAGGA